GUUAAAGACCCCCACCCCCUCUACUCCAUCGAUAAUGCUGUUAAAGACCUCCCACCCCCUCUACUCCAUUGAUAAUGCUGUUAUUCUACACAGCAUUGAGGAUAUUAUGUCUUAAAAACAAGCCUGGCCUUUGGACCAUAAGACCUGUGACUGAUAUAGUGACUGUUAUAUUGACUGAUAUAGUGACUGAUAUAGAGAUUGAUCAUGAUUGAUAUAGAGACUGAUAUAAUGACUGAUAUAGUGACUGAUAGAGUGGCUGAUAUAGAGACUGAUUGUGACUGAUAUAGAGACGGAUAGUGACUGAUAGAGACUGAUAUAGUGACUGAUAUAGAGAUUGAUCAUGAUUGAUAUAGAGACCGAUAUAAUGACUGAUAUAGUGACUGAUAGAGUGGCUGAUAUAGAGACUGAUUGUGACUGAUAUAGAGACGGAUAGUGACUGAAAGUGACUGAUAUAGAGACUGAUAUAGAGACUGAUAUAGUGACUGAUAUAGAGACUGAUUGUGACUGAUUGUGACUGAUAUAGAGACUGAUAUAGAGACUGAUAUAGUGACUGAUAUAGUGACUGUUAUAGUGACUGAUAUAGAGACUGAUAUAGGGACUGAUAUAGGGACUGAUAUAGGGACUGUUAUAGUGACUGAUAUAGAGACUGAUAUAAGGACGGAUAGAGACUGAUAGAGACUGAUUGAGACUGAUAUAAUGACUGAUAUAGAGACUGAUAUAGAGAGUGAUAUAAUGACUGAUAGAGACUGAUAGUGACUUAUAUAAUGACUGAUAUAGAGUGAUAUAGUGACUGAUAUGGUGACUGAUAUAGGGACUGAUAUGGUGACUGAUAUAGCACCUUAUUCCUCGUUAUAGUGACUGAUAUAAUGACUGAUAUAAUGACUGAUAUAGUGACUGAUAUAAUGACUGAUAUAGUGACUGAUAUAGUGACUGAUAUAGUGACAUAUAAUGACUGAUAUAGUGACUGAUAUAGCACCUUAUUCCUCGUUAUAGUGACUGAUAUAAUGACUGAUAUAGAGUGAUAUAGUGACUGAUAUAGACUGAUAUAGUGACUGAUAUAGUGACUGAUAUAGCACCUUAUUCCUCGUUAUAAUGACUGAUAUAGAGUGAUAUAGUGACUGAUAUAGACUGAUAUAUCACCUUAUUCCUCGUUAUAGUGACUGAUAUAAUGACUGAUAUAGUGACUGAUAUAGCACCUUAUUCCUCGUUAUAGUGACUGAUAUAUGACUGAUAUAGAGACUGAUAUAGUGACUGAUAUAGCACCUUAUUCCUCGUUAUAGUGACUGAUAUAUGACUGAUAUAGUGACUGAUAUAGCACCUUAUUCCUCGUUAUAGUGACUGAUAUAGCACCUUAUUCCUCGUUAUAGUGACUGAUAUAGUGACUGAUAUAGCACCUUAUUCCUCGUUAUAGUGACUGAUAUAGUGACUGAUAUAGCACCUUAUUCCUCGUUAUAGUGACUGAUAGAGUGACUGAUAUAGCACCUUAUUCCUCGUUAUAGUGCGCUAUAUAGGGAUUGGGGUUCCAUUUGGGAUACACGUGAGGGACAAUUAGUAUCUGAUUGAUUUAAAACCAGGAGUUCCUUAUCAGAUACAAAUGUCUGAAUCUGUGAGGAACAUUGUGAAACACCAUGUCUCCUAGAGCCUACAGAGGACUUUGAUGGGUUUUUAUUCUAGCUAUGGAGAGUGAACUAACAUUCACUUUUCGUAUCAUUUUUUUUCUACAGGCUGCUUAGUAUGUAAUUGAACUGUAGUAGAUAAAUACUUCUACUUUAUUUUUUAUUUGUUCAAAUAGAAAAUUGUUCACUUGAUAUUUUAAGCUGGAAAAUGUUUUAUACCAUCUCAAGACCUGGCUCCACCAACAAGCGGAAUUCUCUUUUGGAAUUCAGAUUUCUCUUUUGGAAUUCAGAUUUCUCUUUUGGAAUUCAGAAUUCUCUUUUGGAAUUCAGAUUUCUCUUUUGGAAUUCAGAUUUCUCUUUUGGAAUUCAGAAUUCUCUUUUGGAAUUCAGAUUUCUCUUUUGGAAUUCAGAAUUCUCUUUUGGAAUUCAGAAUUCUCUUUUGGAAUUCAGAAUUCUCUUUUGGAAUUCAGAAUUCUCUUUUGGAAUUCAGAAUUCUCUUUUGGAAUUUGGAAUUGUCUUUUGGAAUUCAGAUUUCUCUUGGAAUUUGGAAUUGUCUUUUGGAAUUCGGCAGCCAUCUUGAAAGGCUAUCGAGGUGUCACUGUUAAAAAUGUCUUACACUGUUGAAAGAAACUAGUGUAGAUUGAAUUGAAAUCAACACACUGAAUUUGAAUAGUAAUUCUUAGUGUAGUAUUUGUAUUGAGUUGUUUUCUAUUGAACAUUGCAGCUUCAUAGUGUUUUCUGACAAUACAUAAAGGGAUCAAUCACUGUUAUGUUUGUUAGAUUCAAAUAAAAAAUACUACACAACUGAGUGUUGUAUUAUUAUUCAUUCAUUUCAAAGGAAUCCUUGUGUAUAUAUUCUAUAUACUCCAUUCAACAGGCACUAUUAUCCAGUGACUUUUAGUCAUCUGUGCAUACAUUUUACAUAUGAGUGGUCGCGGGAAUCGAACCCACUACCACUAGAAGCACCCUGCUAUACCAACUGAGCUACAGAGGCCCGCA
Long non-coding RNA from Oncorhynchus tshawytscha (Chinook salmon), 2615 nucleotides. The record is from Ensembl. NCBI's taxonomy places the organism in Eukaryota, Metazoa, Chordata, Actinopteri, Salmoniformes, Salmonidae.